Molecule: ribosomal RNA, 465 nt
Filed under: uncultured bacterium
Lineage: Bacteria
Description: partial 16S ribosomal RNA
Rfam family: Bacterial small subunit ribosomal RNA
Source: RNAcentral
GAUGAACGCUGGCGGCGUGCUUAACACAUGCAAGUCGAACGGAAAGGCUCCUGCUUGCAGGGGUACUCGAGUGGCGAACGGGUGAGUAACACGUGGGUGAUCUGCCCUGCACUUCGGGAUAAGCCUGGGAAACUGGGUCUAAUACCGGAUAGGACGAUGGUUUGGAUGCCAUUGUGGAAAGUUUUUCGGUGUGGGAUGAGCUCGCGGCCUAUCAGCUUGUUGGUGGGGUAAUGGCCUACCAAGGCGUCGACGGGUAGCCGGCCUGAGAGGGUGUACGGCCACAUUGGGACUGAGAUACGGCCCAGACUCCUACGGGAGGCAGCAGUGGGGAAUAUUGCACAAUGGGCGCAAGCCUGAUGCAGCGACGCCGCGUGGGGGAUGACGGCCUUCGGGUUGUAAACUCCUUUCGCUAGGGACAAAGCGCAAGUGACGGUACCUGGAGAAGAAGCACCGGCUAACUACGUG